UUCACCCAAUAUGCCAUUAAUUCAUCUGUAAACGCAAAUUCAAAACCUUGAUUCAACAUCGAGUACUUUACUAAACCAAAACUAAAACAAUCUAAGUAUACUUGAAAGUUAUUUAGAAAUAAAAAGGGGAUGGUUUCGAGCCUUCGACUCCUCUCCUUGAUUGUUUGAGUACAAGUCCCCUUACUCAAUUAGUCAAAUGAUUGUCAUUUCUCUUAAAAAGAUUC
Molecule: long non-coding RNA, 224 nt
Filed under: Lathyrus oleraceus (garden pea)
Lineage: Eukaryota; Viridiplantae; Streptophyta; Magnoliopsida; Fabales; Fabaceae
Description: Pisum sativum (pea) long non-coding RNA (PSAT_LNC006035)
Source: RNAcentral